CUUGGAUUUAGCAGAGCAAAACAAGUGGCUGCAGGUGUCUAGAAGCAGGACUUUUGAAAUUCAUUGAAAAAAGUAAACAAAGAGAAAAUCAGUUGAUUUCACCCACUACACAUUUAUGGCAUCCAAGCAUCUAAGCAUAUGCUUGUUGAAAUGUUGUUGAGAAUUCCAGCUGCAAGGCAACAAAUUUUAGCUUGAAAGGCAAAAGAGGCCACAGCCACAGGACCAGGAAGGAAAAGGAAAAUACACCCCAUGAAGACCAAAAUGAAUCCAUGCCGGACAUGUCAGAAGGCUGCAGUCAUCGGAAAUCUGGGGCUGUCCUUCCUAAUGCUUAGUGAUUGGCCAUCUAGGGAGUUUGUUUUUGUUUUUGUUUUACUUUUUAUUAAGCUACUGGUGCUUAGGAUACCUCUAGUAUAUCCAUAAGUAAGUAUUAUACUUUUCUUGAAACUAAGUAUUAAAGUUAAAAACUAUCAUUGAGAUUAAAGGAAAAAAC
RNAcentral lists this long non-coding RNA (490 nucleotides) under Sarcophilus harrisii (Tasmanian devil). Its description in RNAcentral is "lncRNA (ENSSHAG00000021933.1)". The record is from RNAcentral. Lineage: Eukaryota; Metazoa; Chordata; Mammalia; Dasyuromorphia; Dasyuridae.